This 69-nucleotide transfer RNA is filed under the name Loxodonta africana (African savanna elephant). It matches the Rfam family "tRNA". From Rfam's summary of the family: Transfer RNA (tRNA) molecules are approximately 80 nucleotides in length. Their secondary structure includes four short double-helical elements and three loops (D, anti-codon, and T loops). The record is from Rfam by way of RNAcentral. Lineage: Eukaryota; Metazoa; Chordata; Mammalia; Proboscidea; Elephantidae.
ACAGUGGUAGUUCAUUGGUAGAAUUCUCACCUUUCACGUGGGAGAUCCAGGUUUAAUUCCCAGCCAGUA